GAUGAACGCUGGCGGCGUGCCUAAUACAUGCAAGUCGAGCGAACAGACGAGGAGCUUGCUCCUCUGACGUUAGCGGCGGACGGGUGAGUAACACGUGGAUAACCUACCUAUAAGACUGGGAUAACUUCGGGAAACCGGAGCUAAUACCGGAUAAUAUAUUGAACCGCAUGGUUCAAUAGUGAAAGACGGUUCUGCUGUCACUUAUAGAUGGAUCCGCGCCGCAUUAGCUAGUUGGUAAGGUAACGGCUUACCAAGGCAACGAUGCGUAGCCGACCUGAGAGGGUGAUCGGCCACACUGGAACUGAGACACGGUCCAGACUCCUACGGGAGGCAGCAGUAGGGAAUCUUCCGCAAUGGGCGAAAGCCUGACGGAGCAACGCCGCGUGAGUGAUGAAGGUCUUCGGAUCGUAAAACUCUGUUAUUAGGGAAGAACAAAUGUGUAAGUAACUAUGCACGUCUUGACGGUACCUAAUCAGAAAGCCACGGCUAACUACGUG
Molecule: ribosomal RNA, 497 nt
Filed under: uncultured bacterium
Lineage: Bacteria
Description: partial 16S ribosomal RNA
Rfam family: Bacterial small subunit ribosomal RNA
Source: RNAcentral